This 575-nucleotide ribosomal RNA is filed under the name uncultured bacterium. RNAcentral describes it as "bacterial SSU rRNA". It matches the Rfam family "Bacterial small subunit ribosomal RNA", at positions 102 to 679 of the family's 1533-position model. The record is from RNAcentral.
ACGGGUGAGUAACACGUAGGAACCUGCCCAGUAGAGUGGGACAACCAGAGGAAACUCUGGCUAAUACCACAUAGACUCGGGAGAGGAAAGCUGCCGAAAGGUAGCGCUAUUGGAGGGGCCUGCGUCCGAUUAGCUAGUUGGUAGGGUAAAGGCCUACCAAGGCGAAGAUCGGUAACUGGUCUGAGAGGACGACCAGUCACACUGGGACUGAGACACGGCCCAGACUCCUACGGGAGGCAGCAGUGGGGAAUCUUGGACAAUGGGGGCAACCCUGAUCCAGCGAUGCCGCGUGGGUGAAGAAGGCCUUCGGGUUGUAAAGCCCUUUAGGUUGGGAAGAAGGUUGAGUACGGAUAAUGUACUUAAUUUGACGGUACCGACAGAAUAAGCACCGGCAAACUCUGUGCCAGCAGCCGCGGUAAUACAGAGGGUGCGAGCGUUAAUCGGAAUUACUGGGCGUAAAGGGCGCGUAGGCGGAUGUAUGAGUGUGAUGUGAAAGCCCUGGGCUUAACCUGGGAAGUGCAUCGCAAACGAUAGAUCUGGAGUACAAGAGAGGGUGGCGGAAUUUCCGGUGUAGC